Molecule: ribosomal RNA, 591 nt
Filed under: Lodderomyces parapsilosis
Lineage: Eukaryota; Fungi; Ascomycota; Pichiomycetes; Serinales; Debaryomycetaceae
Description: eukaryotic LSU rRNA
Rfam family: Eukaryotic large subunit ribosomal RNA
Source: RNAcentral
GCGGAGGAAAAGAAACCAACAGGGAUUGCCUUAGUAGCGGCGAGUGAAGCGGCAAAAGCUCAAAUUUGAAAUCUGGCACUUUCAGUGUCCGAGUUGUAAUUUGAAGAAGGUAUCUUUGGGUCUGGCUCUUGUCUAUGUUUCUUGGAACAGAACGUCACAGAGGGUGAGAAUCCCGUGCGAUGAGAUGUCCCAGACCUAUGUAAAGUUCCUUCGAAGAGUCGAGUUGUUUGGGAAUGCAGCUCUAAGUGGGUGGUAAAUUCCAUCUAAAGCUAAAUAUUGGCGAGAGACCGAUAGCGAACAAGUACAGUGAUGGAAAGAUGAAAAGAACUUUGAAAAGAGAGUGAAAAAGUACGUGAAAUUGUUGAAAGGGAAGGGCUUGAGAUCAGACUUGGUAUUUUGUAUGUUACUCUCUCGGGGGUGGCCUCUACAGUUUACCGGGCCAGCAUCAGUUUGAGCGGUAGGAUAAGUGCAAAGAAAUGUGGCACUGCUUCGGUAGUGUGUUAUAGUCUUUGUCGAUACUGCCAGCUUAGACUGAGGACUGCGGCUUCGGCCUAGGAUGUCGACAUAAUGAUCUUAAGUCGCCCGUCUUGA